UGCAACAUGGGUGUAUAUUUAAAGUGUGCUGUAUUCCUUUUGUUAUCCCAUCUGUGAUUGCACUUUCCGAUGUGAAAUCAUACCACUUUCUCCUAGCGAGAGAUUCUGGCCUGGAGCACGGACCAUCUGUGUCAUCAAACCCCUGUCCAGCCUUCUGAUGCACACCGCGACACAUCAUUUGACACGCUGCUGACUCCUUCCGAAAAGCCAUACACACAGAUGGUCCCAACUGCAACUGCACCACCAUGCAGCAAUCUGUUCCAGACCCACACUGCACUGACUGAUGUUCCCCUGUCGCAGCUGGCCAGCGCUGAAUUGUCUCCUCGGUGACCACCACUGUUCUGUGACAUGGAACAUGAUUCAGCAGGGAUUGAGCCUCACCAGACAGAGGAAGCUCUCCCGUCCAUUGGAGUCGAAAGAAAUUCAAUGCUCCAUGCCGGAAACGACAUAAGGUUGGCCAAGGCAGUCUGGGACAAAGUUUUCCUCUACAAAGAGGAUUCUAUGUUCAUCAAACAGGCUGCCUUGGCCAUAUGGCCAGCAUCAGUCCUCAUCGAAAGGACAGUUUCUGGUACGCUGUCGAACCGUGCGAUA
Molecule: long non-coding RNA, 591 nt
Organism: Ornithodoros turicata
Lineage: Eukaryota; Metazoa; Arthropoda; Arachnida; Ixodida; Argasidae
Exons: 3
Source: RefSeq, a predicted model, not a curated record